CAGUUUUUAUAUUGAGAAGUGUCAAAUAAAUGAAUGUACUUACUUACCGUUUCUUCUUUGCUGCGCAGGCUACACAGAGAAGUAGCACAAGCUGGUGAGGGAAACCGCUGGACUUGCACAAAAUGGAAUAUAACGUUGCGGAUGAAGUUUGGAAUGACACGAUUGCAUGUGUACAACAUCUAAAGACCUGCAUCACGAUACUGAGAGCGUGUUUCUAAAAGCACAUAUUUGGGUGUUUUUGGAUAUGCUUUUUGGAUGCCCGCACACUGCACAACGAGCAAGUCUAUCACGUAAAAGUGAGAUCUACAAGGAGCAAAUGAGGGCCCAAAUAUCUAGCGAAGUUAUUUCACACAGGAAAAUAAAUAUUGUUGUCGUAUCUUAGAUCAAGCACUAAAACACAUUUCUAAUCGGCAUGUAGUCUGUGCUGUUUGGUUAGCCAUCAAGAAAUCUGCUCAAGUAAAUGCUUUCAUUUAAUGUCACAACGCCAUUCCAUAUCCCAAACUGAACUUGAAUUAAAACAAGUAAAUGAGAAACCAUGCCUCUUCAACAGAUGGUGGAACACUAAAUGAGAAGGCACAUAAUCAUGUAAUCAUCCUAACAUUACUGAUGCACUGACUACAUGGUCACAAAACAAUAACAAUUCUAAGAUUGCUUACUUCUGUAAAGUACAAUUAUGAUAUAGUUUAUGAUGAAAGUGUAAAAUAUGAUUACAUUUCAGUUAAACAAUACCUAAAACAAUUAGAUUAGCAAUUUUAAACCAAAGUUUAAAACUAAGUCCUGAUCAAGAGAGCUGUUCCAUCAUAUUAUAUCCAUAAUGUAAAUACCUUUCACAGCCAAGAUGCAACAUUCACCCACCAAAAACCCUUGAGGGAACAUCCCAACUGAACUGCAAAGCAUAAAUCACUUAAACUGAAUACCUACAUGUUGUAUUCAUGAAUAUUCCUAGAACAUAGAGUUGUGUAUGGCAGUCACUUUGACAAUCCACCUAUUUUCUCCAUGAGGAACAGAAUGUGCUCUUCCAGUUGAUCAAUCUGUGAAAGAGAAGGGGGUUCAAAACAUGUUGGUUCUACACUUUGGGCAGAAGAUGGUCCUUAACACUAGAACCGCCGGGGCAUACUAAUCCAGGCCAAUGUCGCACCCUUGUCGUGUCUAUUUUAACAGUCUAAUAAAUCAAUUUAAUAUACACCAUCACAAAGAAACUCAUCAUUUCGUUUAGGCAGGUCUUAAAAAACAAAGUAUUUCAAAAGAACAGCAUAUUUAAAGUUAUGUAACAAGUCUGUGCUUAGGCUAUAUGCUGCCACGGCUGCUCACGUGUGUAACGCAUGAAAGAGAGGUUAUUCUACAAAAAAAGUGAUCAAAAAGAACCCUUGAGUUGUUUGGCAAACGUAGGUGUUUCAGAAACCAUAGAAUCUGCUCUUUUUUUUUUGUGGUGAAGUCUUCAAUUUUUUGUCAAUUACACUGUUCAGUCUCUUCAUUCACAAUUGAUAAUAUUGUCAACCACCAGAAUAUUGUCUAUUUAAUCUUGCCAUUAUGCUACUUAUUAUUUUUUGUGUGGAAUUAGUUUUGAUAUAGUUCAGGUGUACUUUCAAUGGGCAUUAUGAGAUGGGCAACUAACUGUUGAGUGUCCUCGUAAAACUGCUUAUAACAAACUCUGCGGUAUUGAAAUUCUCACAACGUAAGUCUGUGAAAGACUUAUUUAGGAAAAGUCAAGGACGGUGGGGGACAUGACUAAAAAUGACAGCGAUAUUACAAUUGUUAAAUCACGACGCUCAAAAGACCAUGUUCAAAAGACGUUGGCUGUUCUAGUGUUUUAAUUAAGGUUCAAUGAAUGAGAUUUCACAGAAUCAAAUCAAUGGAUAGCCAGUGCACAAAAAAUACAUUUUACUGUACAGGUGCAUCAACGCUGGGACUGAGAGACAGAAACUGAAUGUCACCACUAGCCUUAAUCACUGUUCUAGCCCGGCUACCACUCGGUACGCUACCCUUCCCCCUAGAGACUACUGCCCUAUGUACAUUGUUAAAUAACUAUGGUUCAUCCUAUACAACUACUGCUGUACACAGCUUUUCUAUUCAUAUACUGGUCAUACUGUCUUACACUAUUACAGUCGUGGCCAAAAGUUUUGAGAAUGACAAAUAUUAAUUUUCAUAAAGUCUGCUGCCUCAGUGUCUUGAUAUUUUUGUCAGAUGUUAUUAUGGAAUACUGAAGUAUAAUUACAAGCAUUUCAUAAGUGUCAAAGGCUUUUAAUUGACAAUUACAUGAAGUUGAUGCAAAAUAGUCAAUAUUUGCAGUGUUGACCCUUCUUUUUCAAGACCUCUGCAAUCUGCCCUGGCAUGCUGUCAAUUAACUUCUGGGCUGAUGGCAGCCCAUUCUUGUAUAAAUCAAUGCUUGGAGUUUGUAAGAAUUUGUGGGUUCUUGUUUGUCCACCCACCUCUUGA
This 2436-nucleotide long non-coding RNA is filed under the name Oncorhynchus mykiss (rainbow trout). RNAcentral describes it as "lncRNA (ENSOMYG00000067750.1)". Lineage: Eukaryota; Metazoa; Chordata; Actinopteri; Salmoniformes; Salmonidae. The record is from RNAcentral.